CUUGUUCCUUCUUGAAGUUUCCUUCUUCUGCUGUAAUGUUUGCUUUAAUAUGGAUCUAUUUUAUUUGUCUGAAAAUGUCUCUUCUGCUUUUGCUUUGAUGAAUAUUUUUGUUGGAAAUAGGUUCUAGACUGGCAUUUAGUAAUUAGCUAUUUUCUUUCAGCACACGUAGUUCUCAUUAUUGUCAUCUGGAUUCCAUUGUUUCUGCUGAGUUGUCAGCCCUCAGGCUUAUUGAUUCUCUUUACAGGAAAUAUCUUGUUUUCUCCUCUGGUUGUUUCAAAAUUCUCUUUGUCUUUAGUUUUCAGCAGCUUUACUGUCAUUCUUAGAUAUAGUUUUCUUCGAAUUUAUCCUGAUUAGAAUUUGUAGCACUUUUUGGUUUUGUGUCUUAAUGUCUUCUUUCAGUGUUGGAGAAUUUCAGGCCAUUAUUUCCUCAAAAUUACUUUGGAACUACUCUCUCUUUUAUCUCCUUCUGGGACUUCAAACACUAUCUUGGAAUCCCAUAUGUUUUUUACAUAUCCUUCCCCCCCACCCCCAAGUUUAUUUCCCCUCCUUUUGUCCCCUGUGCUUCGGUCUGAAUAUUUUCUUUUGACCUUUAGUUUCGCUAAUCAUCUCUUUGGGUCUAUUUCUUCUGUUAGCCCAUCUAUUAGUUUUAAUUUUAGCUAAUGCAUUUCUCAGCUUUAGAAUUUUCAUUUGAUUCUUGUUUUUUAGAUAAAAUUCUCCACCUCUUCAUCUAAGUUCUUCAACAUAUUACUAAGAGAUAGUUUAAAAUACAUGUCUAAUAACUUAAUAUCUAGUUCUCCUGUGGUCUGUUUCUGUUUUAUUUAUCUCGCUUUUUGGCCACAGAGCCCUGUUUUUGGAUAUGCCUAGUAAUGUGUGAUUGACUGUGGACAUCAGAUAUGAACAAUUGCGGAGAUAAGUUGAGCCUUUGGUGGUGAUUUCUGCAUCCCUAGAGAAUUUAGUUUUGCAUUUGUCAUGCAGCUAGGAUAUGGUCAAUCACCUUAAGCCAAUCAGAGAUUGAGUUAAUUCCAAUCUGGGCUUCAGUCUUUGUGAGCACUGAUUUAAUUUUGGUUUCUUUCUGUUCCUAAGGUGGAGGCCUUCUGUGUUCUGAAAUAAAGGCCUGGGUAGAUUAAUAUGGACUUUUCUUUCUGAAGGCCAAAUUUUGUCCCUCAGUCUGAUAAAACUGUAAGAAGUUUUGCUCAGCUUUUUCGCCUCUUAAGCUGCCAAUUUUUGCUCAGCUUUCUGAUAUCUCAGCAGCCACUUGGGAACUCCAGAAUGACUUAAGCGGAAAAGCAGUCUUGGAUGUUGGCAUUGCCCCUCUAAGUUUCUCUUCCUUUUGGCAUCUUGGCUCCUUAGUCCUUACAGCUUUGGAAACUCUCUAAUGCCUUCAAAGAAAUAAUAUAUGUAUGUAUGCAUACACAUAUAGCUCAGCUUUUCUUGUUUGGCGUCACGGAAAGAGUGGUCUGCAACACACUUGUCCAUCAUUACAGAAAGAAGUUAUUAAUCUUUAUGAUUCUUGCACAUCAUAAAAAUCUGUAAAAUGAGUGUAAUAAUGCUGAAGAUUAUUGUGAGAAUCAAUUAGAUCAUAUGGGAAGGCACUGAGCAAACUGGAAAGCUCUAUGGAAACACAACGUAUUAUUAUUAUCUGAAUACAGAACAUCAUCUCUCUGAAACAUGCAGUAAUAUGGCAGAGAGGUAUUUGGUAAUUUAUUUGUCUUUUUGCUUUUUUUGAGGAAGAUUAGCCCUGAACUAACAUCUGCUGCCAGUCCUCCUCUUUUUGCUGAGGAAGACUGGCCCUGAGCUAACAUCCGUGCGCAUCUUCCUCUGCUUUAUAUAUGGGACAUCUUACACAGCAUGGCUUGACAAGCAGUGCAUAGGUCUGCACCAGAUCUGUGAACGCCAGGCUGCCGAAACAGAAUGUGUGAACUUAAGCACUGUGUCAGUGGGCGAGCCCCUACCAUUUAAAAAAAAUAUUGGAUCCUCUGGGGCCGGCCCGGUGGCACAGCAGUUAAGUGCGCACAUUCUGCUUUGGUGGCCUGGGGUUCGUCAGUUUGGAUCCUGGGUGUGGACAUGGCACUACUUAAGUAGUGGUAGUGGACAUGCCAUGCUGUGGUAGGCGUCCCAUAUAUAAACUAGAGGAAGAUGGGCAUAGAUGUUAGCUCAGGGCCAGUCUUCCUCAGCAAAAAGAGGAGGAUUGGCAGCAGAUGUUAGCUCAGGGCUAAUCUUCCUAAGAAAAAAAAAGAAGGAUCCUCUUAAAGGGCCUGAGUCAAUCCAGUGAAUGUGCUACUCAAUGUAGAAGUUGGGGUGGUAUUGAAAUAGAAGGCCUUAUGCUGGGUAAAACUGAGAGAUGUAGUUCCCCAAGGCAACCCAAAGGUAGAAACCAUCUUUCAAAAGGAACUUAGACAGUCCUGGAUGUUAAAUCCCAGCAACGAGGAGAAUGAGCAAUAGGUCACUAGCAUGUAUAAUAAGGUCAGAAGCUAGAGGAAUCGAGGACAGGAGGGAGUGAAGUGGGCAAGUGGGUCAUAGCAAGGUUGAUGAGCAGUGAGAGAUACUAAAGUUUAUCUGGUGCAUUUCAUGGGGCCUGGCUGUGAGAUUGAAAGAAACUCUAUGGGCUAUAAUUUAUGACCUGAUAAUUUUUUGUGGGUUUUUAAUUUUAUAAUUUUUCAAAUUAUCUACUAGAAUUAUUUCUUUUCUGUUGUUUUCUUAUACCCAAGUUAGAGACUGGGAUGUAUGUCAGCAAUAUUAUACUCUAUGAAAAUGGGUUGAAUAUUAUUAUGCAUGUGAACACAUGUCAACUGUUCUUUAACUCUCUGCAUAUUAGUGAUGUGCAGUAGGGACUAUGUAAGUACACAAAAGAAGGUGUGUGAAAAUGAAUAGGAGGACAAUGCACCAAUGUUGAAGUUGUCCAUAAGUCAGAGUUCAAUGAAAAAAUAUCAACACGAUGUACUUUCCACUUAAUAUUGAAAAUACAUCGUUUUCCAUAUUACAGUUCCUGUUAUUAUUGUGGUUGGUUUGUAAUUUUUAAAUCCAUAGACUCUGCUGAUGGAGGUGAGAUGCUAUUCUGACAGAUGUCUAAGAUGGGUGCUACCAACAUAUCUCUUUCAUCAGGACUUCUUUUCAAAAUUCUCAGUGAGGAAUGGUGCCGGACUGUAAGCCACCUGCCGUCAUCUCCUCCUCUCGAGUCUAGCUCAGGGCUUUCACUCUUACAACCCUCCACUUAUCUCUUUCUUCCUUUCUUCCCUACUUGCUACGAGCCCAGCUCCUCUGUGAAGUCAAGCUUUUCAUAUAUUAGAAGUUUUCAAAGGCAAAAGGAUGAGAUUUGGCAUUUGUUUCAUGACGAACUACUGUAUCUGGAUGGAUAGUAUCUCAUAACGUAACAAGACUUUUCGAAAUAAAUCUCGCCUAUUUUUUUAAGCAGAUCUUAUAAAUAACUGCAAUAAGCAUUGUUUAUUAGCCUAGACUGAGUUACUAUAUGUUCUUAUAUAAAAGGUUACAAGAAAGGUUCAGAUUAGUUAUUCAGAGCUAUAAAGGCCACCUCCAAUGAUGAAUAAGAGGUCAAUGGUAAUAUAAAAAACAGAAAUAGUGAUUUAGAGUGAGUAUGGGAUGUGGGUCCUAAUGUAAGUGCUUUAUUUGUCAUAAAAGGGAGAAAACAGAUGUGGAUUUAUAAAUCAAGAAACAGGGGUAAGCAUUUUAUGUAAUGUGAUAACGGAAACUCCUCAGAAGAUCUAAGUGUGCUAAGCGGAGGGAGACUUGUUUUAACAUGAGACCAUUCUGUCCUCUGACUUUUAAAUUUAUUAUGCAAAAUCUUUCUUAUAAUAAAAGUAGUUUUAAAAAUAAGAGGAUAUAUUAGACAAAUGCACAUAACAAAUAUAGCAAUAAUAAAAAAAGAAAUUAAUAUUUUAAGAAUCCCAGAAACUAAAGAUGUGAAAGUGAACGCAUUCAUAAUUUCUUUGGUUAAAGAGGAAAUCAAAAUCCAAUUUAUAAUACUCUUCAGAAAUGACAACUGCAUCUUGUAUAGAAAAGUUGUACUGUGCAGUUAUUGGUUAUAUUACGGUGUAAAUAUCUGUUCAUGGGCCUUUGGGUUGUUUUCAGUUUGCGCCUAUUACAAACAUCUUAUUUAUUUACCCAUGUAGGCCUCAUUGACAGUGCUCUUCAUUCCUUUUUGUAGAUCCAUAUUUCCAUCUGGGGUGACUUUUAUUCUACCUGAAGGACCUACUUUAACAUUUCUUAUGGCAGGGGUCUGCUAGACAUCGACUCAUUCUUCUAGCUUUUGUAUGUCUGAAAGAAUCGUUAUUUAACCUUCAUGUUUGAAGGAUGUUUUCGUGAGAUAUAUGACGCUAGGUUGACAGCUACUUGCUUUUAGUACUUUAAAGAUGUUUCUUAACUGUCUUCUUGUUCGCAUUGUUUUCAAUGAGAAAUCUUCUGGAUUCUUUGUCUAGGUUCCUCUGUACAUAAUGUGUCUUUAUUUCUCUGACCACUUUUUUUUUUUUUUUAAAGAUUUUAUUUUUUUCCUUUUUCUCCCCAAAGCCCCCUGGUACAUAGUUGUAUACUCUUCGUUGUGGGUCCUUCUAGUUGUGGCAUGUGGGACGCUGCCUCAGCGUGGUUUGAUGAGCAGUGCCAUGUCCGUGCCCAGGAUUCGAACCAACGAGACACUGGGCCGCCUGCAGCGGAGCGCGCGAACUUAACCACUCGGCCACGGGGCCAGCCCCUAUCUCUGACCACUUUUAAGAUAAUCUAUUUAUCAUCGAUAUUGAGCAAUUCGAUUGUGACAUACCUUGGUGCAGUUUUCUUUAUGGCUACUUUUGCGUUACUAUAUAUAUUCUUGAACUUUGUUGAAGAAAUUGUGCUUAGGAUGUGUACUUUUGGAUCUGUGGAUUUAGAGUUUUCAUCAAAUUUGGAAAACUCUUAGCUAUUGUUUUUUCUGUGCCGUCCACCAAACCUAUCCUCGGAGAAUCUCAUUACAUGUAUAUUUGGCUGCUUUAAAAUUUCUCAACAUCCCUGAUUCUCUAUUUCUGUUCUUCUGAAUCUCUUUGUUUCAUUUUGGAUAGUUUCUCUUAUCAUAUGUUCAUGUUCACUAAUGUUUUCUUCUGCGAUGUCUAGCCUGUGCAUUAUUCCUGUCCGACAUAGUAGUUUUCAUCUUUAGAAGUUUAAUUUGUGCCUUAUUUACACCUUCUAUGUCUCAACAACUUUGAACAUAUGUGUCAGUUACUGUUGAUAUCGAUUAAUUUUUCUCUUCAUUAUGGGUCACAUUUUCCUGCUUCUUUCUGUGCCUGGCAAUUUUUGAUUAGAUGUCAGAUAUUGUGAAAUUUACCUGGUUGGAUGCGGGAUAUUCUUGUAUUUCUGUUUGAGUCUUUUAAAAUCUCUUCUAUACCUUAAACUUUUGGAACAUAAUUUUAAAAUGUCUUUGUGAACUAAUUCUAACGUCUGCAUCAGUUAGUUUUUUAACUGUUUUCUUUUUCUCAUUAUGGGUCAUAUUUUCCUACUUCUUUGCAUUUCUAAUAAUCUUUGAUUGGAUGCCAACAUUAUAAAUUUUACCUUUUUGGGCACUAGAUACUUUCGUAUUCCUAUAAAUAGUCUUGGGCUUUGUUCUGGGGUGUAAUUAAGUUCCUUGUAGUUCAGUUAGCCCUUUUGGGUCUUGUUUUUACGAUUUGGUAGGUGGGACCAGAACAGUGUUUAAUUCAGGGCUAAUUAUUCCCAACUACUGAGGCAAGUCCCUUCUGAGUACUCUGCUCAAUGCCUUGUGGAAAUAAGGUUUUUCAGUCUGACUAGUGGGAACAGGCACUAUUGCCUGCCCUGUGUGAGUGCUGGGUAAUGUUCCCUCUAAUCCUGUGGGUAGUUCUUUCUCUGGCCUCCAGUAGUUUUUUCAUACAUUUGCUCUGAUUAACAUGCUGGUGACUCAAGAUGAUCUCUGGACAUCUCUGCAGUUACUGCCUGUGGAACUCUCUCCUCUCCAGGGCUCUAUCUGCCUUGGUCUCUGUGAAUGAUCUACUUUGUCUCCUCAACUCAGGUAGUCCACCAGCCUCUGCCUAGUUUUCUCCAUUUUUCUCUACACUUCCUGGAAACUCCCUCAAGGAAGUAAGUUGGGGCAGUCAUAGUGCUCACCUCAUUUGUUUUCCAUCUCUGCCCCAACGUCCAGUGUCUUGACAACCACUAUUGCAUAAAUUUCUUUUUUGGUGUUUUAGGCAAGAGGGUAAAUCCAGUCUCUUUUACUUUAUCUUGACCAGAAGUGGAAGAUAAUAAAUUUAUUUUAAAGUGUUAAUUUCAGAAAAUACGUUAAGAAAGAUAUCCUUAAAUAAUGAAAUAGCAAAAGAGGUAUGCAAUCUUGCAACUGGAUACUAAAUCCUUCUAAAGUCAUUUUACUGCCGGAUGUUUGCUUUUGUGAAGACACAGACUUCACACAAUUUUCAAGCUUUUCUAAAAAUGAUCUGUGAUCGUUAUAGCUCUGACAGUAGGAGUUGGAGCAAUAUAUAGGCUUAUUAUUUGAGUAUAUAAGUGUAAAAACUCUUAUCAUAACUUAUUUAAGGAUCAAAAUAUCUGGAUUGAAAAAAGAAGCCUGAUUAUGUUCCAGUCAUCUCAUUUUAAAACAUCAAUCUCUUUUAGAAAUAUAUCUUUUGUAAUUCCCUUUAACACAUUGCCUUUGAUUUAUAAUGUCUGCUGAUAACACUAGAUAUGCAAUAUGUUUAUUAAUUUGACAUUGCUUUAGGAUAUAUAUUGCUUUAAUAUAUAUGAAAUAGAAAAUGCUAAUUUGAGGCUCACUUUAUUGCUUGUUAUGUGUAUAUACAGUGAACCCACAUUUGAUCUUUAAUAAUGGGCUAUCUCAAUUGCAAAAUUUACUCAUUUUUUCAUGUGUUGUAUGAAAAAUGUAUGGAUAAGCUUGUGGGAAAUAAGACAUCAAUUAAAGUGAUAAAUUAUAAACCAAUAAUUAUGGAGAAAUUUUAGUGUCAAAUCACCUUGGUUUUAAAUACUUCUGGGUUAAUACAUGGAAAGUGGUUAGGACAGGGUUUGGAAUGUAAUGAGUUCAAUACAGGUUAAAAGUUAAAUGGUUAUUUCCUAUUUGAAUGUUUUUUGAGAUGUGUAUGAUUGAAGUGUAACUGAAGUAAUGAUGAUUCUGUAAGUAACUAGGUCCUUGCACUGAUCACAUAUUGCACUUAUUUACCACCAGUCAGUGUUUGACUUAAGAUGAGAUGAAGGCAAACCAUAUGCCAACGUGGAGGAUUUUUUUUGAGGAAGGUUGGCCCUGAGCUAACAUCUGUUGCCAAUCUUCAUCUUUUUGCUUGAAGAAGAUUGUCGCUGAGCUAACAUCUGUGCCAAUCUUCCUCUAUUUUAUGUGGGACAUCACCGCAGCAUGGCUUGAUGAGCAGUGCUAGGUCCGUGCCCGGGAUCUGAACCUGCGAACCCCGGGCCGCCAGAGUGGAGCAUGCAAACUUAACCACUAUGCCACUGGGCUGACCCCAACAACAUGGAGGAUUUUUAAUCUCUCUCACUCUUCAUUGAUAGUUUUUCAUUUUAAUUCCUGAUCCUGUGGUAGAGCUUUCACUCAAAACUGACACUGGAUGAGGAAGAAUAAAAAGAUAGGGAGCUGUGAGCAAAGCAGAGGAUGUGAAAGAGCCUGGAAUAGGGGGAAAGACUGGAGCAUUGAUGUGUAAGGCAGGAAGAAAAUUUCUACAGAGGAGGCAAGGGAGCUGUACAGAAUCAGGAUUCAUUUCUUGCAUACCAACUUUGCCAGAGACUUCUCAGGAGAAAUGUUUUCCCUGGAAAUACAUUUAGGAGACAGAGAGCCAAUAGAAUUUCAAAGCUGGAAUGAAUGUUGAAGUCUGUCAGAUAAAAGCAAUUUAAACAGGUGAAAAUAGAGUUUGCUAAGAAUUAUAGUGGGGAAAUUAGUACAAAAAGCUAGCAACUCAAUAACAGCCCCACUUGUUGAGCCCCUUCUAUUUGGAAGUCACUCUGCUAUAUUUAUAAAAUUAUAAUUAAAAGGCAGUAUUUCUUGGGGCCAGCCCUGUGGCCGAGUGGUUGAGUUCGCAGGCUCUGCUUCGGUGGCGCAGGGCUUCACCAGUUCCUAUCUUGGGCGCUGAUCUAGCAUUGCUUGCCAAGCCAUGCUGAGGCGGCGUCCCACAUAGAGGAGCCAGAAGGACCUACAACUAGAAUAUACAACUAUGUACUGGGGGUCUUUGGGAAGAAGAAGAAGAAAAAAUUCUCCUGUUCAGACCACCCUUGACCCACCCAUAUGCCCCACCAUGGCCGCUGUGGAGUCACAUCCCAGAUGGAUACGCUGCAGGACGGAAGAGGGCAGCUCACUCCAUGUCAGCCUUGGCGGGAGUGAGAAAUUAAUCUUUAAAAAAAAAAUACGGUAUUCCUUUAAGUAAAUUUCCUUGUUUUUUAUUGGCAAAGCAGAUCAGAUGUGAUUGAUAAUGCAGUGGUUAUUGACAUGAAAAUGUUCUGUUGCUUUUCAGAUGCAGAAUAUCAGUGUUACUCCAAAUAUAGAAAUCUACUCAAUAGCAUUGUCAAAAGGUAAUAAUUGAAAACUUACAACUUCUUUCGACUUUUGGAUGGCUGUAGGGCUACAGAUGCUUCUGCUGGACUUAAUGAUCCCUCUGUUCCAUUCAUCCAUUGUUCAGUUCUUUGGAGUGAAACAGAAUAAGCUGAAUCUAUUUCAGGCAUUUGAAGAUAGCUAUGCAAUCCCAGUUCUCCUUUAAGUUUUUAUCCUAUGACAUGGCCCCUUUCCCUUCACAAUCCUGAUUGUCUUUUUAGAUACAGAAGCAAUUGCCAAGGUCUAUCUUGAGGACAGAGAUAAAAAAGAAAUAUAAAAUGUGCUUGCUACCAUUAAAGUACUUAUGAAAUAUUGAUUUUUUUGGGCCCAAUCUCUGUCAUGUAUCUUUAUGUCCAACAGGUAUGACAGAUUAACAGCUCCAAAGGAGGAAUUCUAAUAAGUAAGAUCAAUUUAAGGAGCCUGGUGAGUUCUAAGUGGCGGCUCUAAGUGAAAGCUUGGUUGCAGCAUGUGCUGACCAGGCAUACACAUCCCAUUAGAAAAGGAUGGAUGUCAGUUAGCUAAUUCAGUCAAAAAUUAUUUUAUUCAUCCAUUCAGUCUUGUAACAUUUCUCAAAAUGUGUUCUGGUGACCACUCUGCUGAGAACAAUCUUCUGUGCUUAAGCAACCACAUGCCAUAUUGCUCCUUUGAGAUUCUUUGCAAUAAUUUUCACAUAAAGGUUUUUGAUCAAUCCUAUAGUAAAGAAACUCCUUUGACAUUGUUUCAAUCAGCUUUUCCAAACUUUUUCUUUUGCUUCGGGAAAUUUUUUGUGUAACAUUCAUGACUUCUUGUGGAACAUAUUUUGGAAAAUGCUGUCUUAAAACAUUGAACCACAGAACUGACUGGACUUUUUAAUUCCAAACAUUUCAAUGUGAAUAUAGCCAUUUUCAUGAUAAAUGGUUCUCUUAGGAAGACUGAGUGGCAUCUGAACUUGACUCCAGUUUCUACUGAAGAUUUAUAAUAAAAAUCUGUGAGAAGGGAGCUGAGUGAGGCCUAAGGAAUAGAGGAAACCAGCAAAGUAUACUGGCAUGUGAUUUUGAGGGAAAUUCAUGAAAGAGCUGGAAGGCAGAAAUAUCAUAAACUGGAAGGAAUCUCGAGAAAAUUUUGUCUCUAUUCCAUGGCUUCUUUUCCUUAAUUAGGACAGUAUUUAUUAAACAGUCAUCCAUCACGAACGUACUCUGAUUAAGUUAGUGUUAACAAAUCACUAACUACAAGGUGAUAUAAAUGGAGACAAAACCGUUGUGCCAAAGAACUUAACAAUUUAACCACAAAGCAAAGCGAUAUAUCCACAAAAUAAUCAGCUAUAAAGCAGUAUGUAAUUAGUUGUUGAGCUGAGUGGCUCAGGUCAUAAAUACUCUCGAGUGGAGGGAAAGAAGGUAUUGCUGUGAAUGGAGUUAAACAUGGUUUUCUAUUUUUAAAGACUCCUCAAAAGGAUAGUUUUAAUUUGUCUUAGUAACCACUAUUGCAAGAGAAUAACUGUCUCAAAGUUCUUUGUGUUUAACACAGGUAUUUACUGCUGAAGGUCAUACAAAUAUCUCUUGGCCGGGCUUCAGUGGGAAUGGAGAAAGGACAUCUUCCCAUAUAUUAAUGAUAGGAGAAUAUCUUCAUGAAAAGAUCACUACAAUUCUCUUUUGUUACCAGACGGUUUUACAAAACAUUUAGGUCAGCAACACAUAGGUCUGCAAUGCAGUGCUAGCAUUAGAAAUGUGAGAUGACCUCAGAGAAGAGUUGGGAAAACUAGAAGAGUUAUGAUAAGAAAUAAAUAAAAGGCAGGAUAAAGUCUAACAAAGGCAAUUUGAGGCAAGCAUCAGAAGGAAAAGAGUUAAUAGGGAGUGUGUACUUAAGUAAUAGAAGAAGACAGAAAAAAAUGACACACACAGGAAGUGGGUCCACGGGAUAAGUGGACGGCUGAGAUUAACAUAUGGGAACCAGACAGCAAGGAUGGGUCAGAAGAGAGGAACAGCCACCUGGGGAUAAAUAUAGCAGCAGAUAAGAAGGAAUGGAAAUAUUGCAUGGGGGAUUUACUUCCUAUUUUGGAAAGACAGGAGAGAAAGAACCACGAGCCACUUGAAACAGUUUAAAAAUUAUAUACUUCCCCCUUGCUCAAAAGGGUUAUGUAAUUUGUAAAUGCUAAAGCAGACCUUUAAAAAACACUGGCAUCACUCUCCAUGUUAUUUUUAAACAUCUUUUCAUUCAUUAAGCGCAAUUAAGCUAUCAAAUCCUCUGUUUUAACUAUGCAGAACACAGUUCCCACAGCCAGGAGCACAGAGAGUAUUAGAAACAUUAUGAACAAUUCUGAACUUGCACAAAAUGUAAUUGGCCAAUUUGGAGACAUUGUUUUGCACAGUAUGAUGUGUCUCAUACAUUUUUCAUAUAGAGGCGAUGCAUUUUAUGAGACACGCAAUAAGCGUAUGGAAAUGCAUGCGGUCUCAGGAAGCCAAGAAGAACCGUAGUGGGGAUGGGAGACCGAGACCUGAGCUGAGCUAUGUGACGAGAUUUGUGAGCUCUGAAACUUGACAAGCUUGGAAAAAACUACUCUAGGCAGGCUUUCCAAGGCACUUAGAAUGUUAAUUAUACCGGGUGCGCUCCAUUUUUUUUCCUUGCUGUAAUUUCUUUACUGGUUUUAAUUAAGCGCUUUUAAUGUCUAUUAGGAAGGUGGAGGAACAAGGAGGGUGAGAAUUGGCUUCCCAGGCAAGUUUUGCCCUGCCCUCACUCAUUUUAUGCACUACCCAACCUGUGCCUUUGCUAAUCUUUUAUAUGAUUACCUGCAUUUCUGCUAAUUGAUGGCUUUUUAUUCUCUUCUUUCGCUAAUUCUACAAAUUAAGGCUCUACUUAAAUGUUGUCAGUUCAGUCAAUAUCCUCUUUGGAGUAGUAUUAGAGGAAAUGGGUCAUAAUCUUUUGUUGAUUGACAUGUGGUAAUAUUAAAAAUUACUGAUGCAGCUUGAAAGUAUCUUUGUGGAGAAUACUGAGGAACCACUGAAACUCAGUGGAAAAAGGCUUCAGUGGAGGGUGAGCUCAUAUUUGUAUAGACAGACUUGGAUCUGGGAUGUAGGAGCACACAGCUCCAUUCACUCCUGCUUCAGCGGAGUCAGCGCUUACUGACCACAGUGUUUGGUACAAAGCACAUUUGUAAUAACUUAAGAAUUAUAUUUGAAAAUUUAAAGCUGAACAUACACAUUAUAACAUUGAUUUUUUACUGGUCAGUUGUAUGUAAAAAGAAGGAAGAGAGUCCUUUUUAUUCCUUUACUGCAUCACCCAAUAUAUAUUGGGUGCCUUCUAUAUGUUAAGCAUAAGAACUGAAUGGAGAAAUAGAUGGAAUGAGACUACCUGAAGAAGCUGACAUCCUAAUAGAGGAGAGAGAACAUGUGUAGAAAUAAGAACCAUCUGAGGCAUCCAUUCUUUUUCUUUUUUUCAUUAAGCAUUUAUUAGCUAACUACUGUGUCAGGAACUAUGCUAAGGGAUAAGAAUACGAAGAUGAAGAGAACACAAUAUUUGUUCCCAAAGGAUUUGGUAACUGGGGCAGGGGCACAGACGUGUAAAUAAACAAUUAUAGCAAUGGAGUGACAGUUAUUAUGUAGUUAUAUUCCAGUUUCUCAGAACCCUGAGAAGGAAGUACUGAACUCUGCAAGGAGGAGUCAGGCAUGGCAUCCUGGAAAACAAGAGAGACCAUCUUAGUGUAGUUUGAGUCUCUAGUUCUCGCGACUUCUCACUCUCCUGUGCUAGAAUAUGUAAGCAAAUAAAUAACUCCCCCCUUCCUUUUUUUGCCUAAGCAAGUUUGAGUUAGAUUUCUGUCACUUACAGUCAAAAGAAUCCUGUAAAGUUCAGAGUCAGACCUUUGUAUAUAUUGUUGCAAAAGCCUUUGAAGGGCUAGCGAGGAGCCAUAGCAGGGUCACUGUUCUGUCUUUUAACCAGAAAGCCCACUUCAUUUACAUUUCAAUUACCUUCUUGCACAU
This 12471-nucleotide long non-coding RNA is filed under the name Equus caballus (horse). Its description in RNAcentral is "lncRNA (ENSECAG00000055235.1)". The record is from RNAcentral. Lineage: Eukaryota; Metazoa; Chordata; Mammalia; Perissodactyla; Equidae.